GAGGCGCUGCCCACGACGUUUUGGUUGGCCGCGAUGGCGAGCUUCCAGCGGCAGCUGUGGGGCAGACGAGUUCCUGAUGGCGAGGUGGAGACCGAUUUCCGAGAUGCGCCGGCCAGUGUUUGAGGAACAGGGGGCGGCAGCCAGAACAUGAGCAGAAUAAAGGUAGAAAUCUGAGUUCUCUUAUUUGCCUUCCUUCCUGCGAAUUUCGUUAUCUGAAGGCCGUUAGGAACAAUGCAUAUCUGAUUAGCUGAUAUUGAUUAAUUCCCAAAGCUAUGUUUCACGUGGUUGCUUCAUCCCGUGGAUGAUAGCUUGCACCCUUUUUGUGAAUUGUUUGAAGUUGAUCGAUGGUGACAGUGUUGUUAGGACACUGAAUAUUGUAAAUAAGGAUGGGAUUUAUUGUAGAUAUUGUACAUAUAGGAUAGGAGAGGUUUCUUCUGAAAUGCAGAUUGAAAGCGGUAAAGUUUUCCCAUUGUUACAACUUCCAGUUCUUUAGCGAGCAACAUCAUAUUCAUUACGUCUCUUUGCAUUACUUAGAAUCGAGCAAUAAUAAUUGUCAUUUCAAAUUCAUGUAAGCUACUAAUCAGCCUUGUUAUUAGAUUUCAGAAACUAAAACAUCAUGUGUUAUGUACAUGCAAAAAGAUGGAUAUCUCUCACAAAGACAUGGUUUACUGAUUAGCGACAUGAUCUUCUACAGAACUAUUGAUUAGCGACAUCUACUACGAACCAGUCUUGCACCUUGUCUCCGCUGCGGCGUCAAUUCCAUCUGGCCGACCGUCGUGCCCCAUCUUUCCACAUCGCUUGCUGAACGUCCAACGUCCUCUGGGUGUCCCGCCUUUCUUCCUGGCUGGCCAGUCCAGCACAGCCUCCUAUCUCGCUGCCGGUCCCAUUCCAUUUUUUCUUUGAAUGAAUCUGAUUAAGUUUCUUCUCUGUUGUCACCAGCAUACCAAGUAUCAGGUCCUUGCUAUUAUAUUGGCUAUAACCACUAUUCAUAAGUGAAACUAUGUGGUACCAUGCUACUGUAGGUUAUGCGGUUUCUGUUGCUUCAUUAUUUAACUACAUUGCUGAUAUAUAUGAGUAAUCAUUGUUAAUAAUAGUAAAUUGUUAUAUCAUUAUUUUGGUAAAAAGGUAUUUCAACUUGCAUCCAUACAAAUAAACAUGUAUGGAAAGCGUACAAUAGGUGAACUGAAGGAAAUAAAAUUAAAAGGAAUCAGGUCAGUGAAGGUAAGGAGUGAAUUAUCUCAAUAGUUCCACGUUCCCGGAUAAAGGCUGUCUACAUGUUUCAAAUAUGUUCUAAAAAUUCAUUAGGUGUUCAGAGUUUAUGAUGGCAUGUGAUAUUUUAUUUAGGUAAUAAUACUGCAAUUGUUUGCAACUAAUAUUUUUUUUUGUACCAAUCAUGCAUCCAAGCGAUUGAUGACAAGAGCAUGCAUCUCUCAAAAAGUUAGUGGUUAUACUCUAGGUGAAGUAGUUAUUUUACAUAGGAACAUCAUUUGAUAUAUUAUCCAUUGUUUCUGUUGGAUUAAAAUGUUAUCAAUUUAUAUGCAAUCGAAAUUCUCCUGAUGCAAAUUCUCUUUUAUAUUUCUUUUUUGAGUUUAUUUUAAUUCUUUCUCUGUCCGCGAUAUGUGAGUGUUUUGAAGCGAUUUGGUUACAGGUAGCAUGUUGAAAGGAAAGGAAAUGCUGUUGUGAUGAUGCAUCAAUUGGGCACACACAUCUUUUGUGAUCUAAGUUUGCACACGGCAUUUCCUAUGUAGGCUUACCUCAUAGUCCAUAGCAUUAACCGUCAUAGACAUUUGUUAGAGAAACAUCUAUUACUAUACCUUUAUAUGGCUUUCAUUAGAUCUCACGUUGAAUACAUUCCUAUCGUAAAAUACUAUUGCUCAACCUAGGGUCAUAUACAGAAAUUAUGAACUAGCUAACAGAGCUGAUAUAUUUGUGACUCAUAAACAUUAGAACAAUUGCCUAGCUACCUAUCCAGGGCAACUUUGUUAUAGGCAUUUUUUUUGAUAGUAUAGCUGGUUAGUGUUUUAUGUGUAAUAUGAAAAAAAAAUCACACCUUGAAACUUUUGGUUACAUGAUUCUAAUACAUUGCGUCAGAUAUACAAGUACUCAAUACUCUAAUUUUUUAUCACCCCAGAUGUCUUAAGUUUCUCUGGAUGGUAUCCUCCAGGCCUACUGUACUUUGACUUUAUGAUAUUGAGUUGUUUCUAGAAAGCUAUCAUUCAGAAACCCAUUGAGAAAUAAAUAUUGGAUAAAGUGAAAAGACCUAUAAAUUACAUGAUUAUGAUGUAUGCUUCACUUUUUGUUCAGUAAGUUGAUAGGAGCUCCAAAAUGAGUUUACUUUGAUGUGCUAGGGAUAGAAUCAGGUGGCCACACUUCCAAAUUAAAUCAUGCAAUGUAGAUGUUGCAAAUGAAAGUUUCUGAUUGAUAUUAUUUUGUGCGAGUUUAAUUUUCAGAUAUGGUCAUUUAUAGGUUCUCUUGGAAGGCCCAAAUUGCUAUCAACCUCAACAUCUCUAAACAAUUUCUCCGAGCCUUCAAUGUAGCAAUCAAAAAGCCAGUGGGGCUAUGGGAUGAAGUAGAUACAACACUUCCGACCACUAUUUCUUCUGGAUGCAAAACUCACUCCAACAUGUAAUAAGUUACAUCUCAAGCCCAAUAUCGAGCAAUUUUAGUAAUUUGCCACCGCGUGAUUUCUCUGACAAAUAUUUAUUUUUCAUAGUUCAUUUUUAUGUGUAAUAUUUCAUAGACUUAAAAUAAAGAAGAUGGCAUCAAUGUUAUUGUUUGCCUUCUCCAUUAUGUUA
Molecule: RNA transcript, 2795 nt
Organism: Lolium rigidum
Lineage: Eukaryota; Viridiplantae; Streptophyta; Magnoliopsida; Poales; Poaceae
Exons: 2
Source: RefSeq, a predicted model, not a curated record